UAAUAGCGUAUAAGUCGCGUAAUAGAAAAAGCACCUCGUUUAUUUAGCGAAAUUGUUACGGUCCUAAUUGUAUUCUUUUCACCGAAAUCAAACAGAGAGCGUGCGAUGUUCAAUUCGGUUCACAUUUCAAUUCCACCACGAAUCAUAUUUUCCAACUCUUUAGCCAUAUUGUUUAAUUGGGCAGGGUGGGAACAAAAACGUGGAUUUGGUGAUAUACAACAGAAAAAUGUACUUAUUUGUAAAGCAGCUCUAUUCUGGACGAGAACCUGCAUCAACCAGUGACAGCAUCAUUACAAUCCCGACGCAAAGUUGACUACAGCUGCUCCUUCCCCUGAUUUUAAAUAGGCAUUGAAAAAAAAUCCUGAAUGUUCCGGAUGGAAUUUGUAAUUAUGAGGCCCUUUAUAUAAUUAUUCGGACCUUCAAUUUGAUUAAAUAUACAAUCUAAUAAGCCCAUGUGAUGCAUUUAUUAUAAACGUUUAUUAAGUACACUGUUGACGAAUUU
Long non-coding RNA from Photinus pyralis (common eastern firefly), 502 nucleotides. RefSeq lists it as uncharacterized. NCBI's taxonomy places the organism in Eukaryota, Metazoa, Arthropoda, Insecta, Coleoptera, Lampyridae. The record is from RefSeq and is a predicted model, not a curated record. The transcript has 2 exons.